ACCGGAUGCGGAUCUCGAAAGCCUGUCCCAGUUCGGACUGGAGUCCUGCAACCCGACUCCACGAAGUUGGAUUCGCUAGUAAUCGCGCAUCAGCCAUGGCGCGGUGAAUACGUUCCCGGGCCUUGUACACACCGCCCGUCGAGCCAUGGGAGCCGGGGCGCCUGAAGUCCGGGACCGCGAGGACCGGCCUAGGGCGAAACUGGUAACUGGGGCUAAGUCGUAACAAGGUACC
RNAcentral lists this ribosomal RNA (232 nucleotides) under uncultured bacterium. RNAcentral's name for it is "partial 16S ribosomal RNA". It matches the Rfam family "Bacterial small subunit ribosomal RNA", at positions 1260 to 1500 of the family's 1533-position model. The record is from RNAcentral.